UCGGCGCUAAUACCUCAUAAUGCAGCGAUCCGCAGUGAUAUGUUGUAAGGUUUACCGCCUUGGGAUAGGCUUGCGUCUGAUUAGCUAGUUGGUGUGGUAACGGCACACCAAGGCUACGAUCAGUAACUGGUCUGAGAGGAUGAUCAGUCACACUGGAACUGAGACACGGUCCAGACUCCUACGGGAGGCAGCAGUGAGGAAUAUUGGGCAAUGCUCGAAAGAGUGACCCAGCAACGCCGCGUGGAGGAUGAAGGUAUUCUAUAUCGUAAACUCCUGUGAGAGCAGACGAAAGACAGAUUAUUAAUCUGGAUGACUGUAUGCUCAGAGGAAGCCCCGGCUAACUACGUG
RNAcentral lists this ribosomal RNA (348 nucleotides) under uncultured bacterium. Its description in RNAcentral is "bacterial SSU rRNA". It matches the Rfam family "Bacterial small subunit ribosomal RNA", at positions 157 to 507 of the family's 1533-position model. The record is from RNAcentral.